RNAcentral lists this ribosomal RNA (253 nucleotides) under uncultured bacterium. Its description in RNAcentral is "partial 16S ribosomal RNA". It matches the Rfam family "Bacterial small subunit ribosomal RNA", at positions 524 to 776 of the family's 1533-position model. The record is from RNAcentral.
UACGGGGGGGGCAAGCGUUGUUCGGAAUUACUGGGCGUAAAGGGCUCGUAGGUGGCCAACUAAGUCAUACGUGAAAUCCCUCGGCUUAACCGGGGAACUGCGUCUGAUACUGGAUGGCUAGAGGUUGGGAGAGGGAUGCGGAAUUCCAGGUGUAGCGGUGAAAUGCGUAGAUAUCUGGAGGAACACCGGUGGCGAAGGCGGCAUCCUGGACCAAUUCUGACGCUGAGGAGCGAAAGCCAGGGGAGCAAACGGG